RNAcentral lists this unclassified non-coding RNA (1264 nucleotides) under Hevea brasiliensis (rubber tree). The record is from RNAcentral. Lineage: Eukaryota; Viridiplantae; Streptophyta; Magnoliopsida; Malpighiales; Euphorbiaceae.
CUUAAAACUAGUAGUAUUGGCUCUUUGUCCACAUAAAAUCUAUUUGCAUCUGCACUUGCCUUUUUUUCUUUUGGACUUUAGUGUAUAUUGUCUAACCCUUCAUGUUCCAUGACAAGAAAAAGAGAGAAUAAAAAGGGAAAGAGAGCUAGCUAGUCACAACCAAGUACUUCAAAACCCACAAGGCCACAACUCUCUUUCAAGCCCUUCCUUCAGGUGAUUAUAGUUUAAAAAAAUGGAGGAUCACUGCAGUCCUCUUAGCUUGGCUUAUUUCUACCAAGAUGAGGGUAUUGAAGAGUUGAGAUAUUGUCUCUUGUACAUAACAGAGCUAGAGGCAACAAUUUUUUCGGCUAAGGAGGAGAUUGCAAGAAGAGAAGUUGAGAUGGUUCAUCUCAAAGAUCUUUUAAGCAAGGCUAUUGCAGAAAGAAAUGAAGCCCAAGUAGAAUGCCAAAAGCUAAUGUCUGAAAAAAUUGCUCUCCAGCAACUAGUUCUUAAAAAACAGAAGGAGCCUCAAAAUCUGCAGAAUCGGCAGCAGCUACUGCUAAAAGAAGAAAUUCAAAACCUCAAACGAGAAACUCCUCCUCCACUCUCUGGAUCUUCUAGCAGUGAAAAUGGUGACUCCCACAAUCACAUAGCCCCUCUUGGUCCUUGCAAAAUCAUAGUUUCUUCACAGUUUAGUGACCCAAUUCACCAGCAACCAGUGCCUGAAGUGAUACAAAAAUUAGCAGCAGAUAGGCCAUUGCCUGAGAAAGGGAAGCUUCUGCAGGCAGUGAAGGAAGCUGGACCUUUGUUGCAGACCCUUCUACUGGCUGGACCUCUCCCUCAAUGGCAGCACCCACCUCCACAACUAGACUCCAUUGAGAUCCCACCUGUGACCAUUUCUCCGGCAGCUCGAUUAAUUUACCAAGACUCUUUCAACAAUUUGAGUGCUUGUUUGAGCAAGAAGAGGGGUCUGGACCUCUGUGAGUCAGGUCCUGAUUCUUCUUCUCCUAAAACCAAGCAUCAAAAGCUUGCUCUCCAUUGACCAGAACUUAGACAUAAAAUUUCUAGUAUAUAUCCAUAUAUAUGCCCAUCCUUUUAAUUCUGUUACACAUUGAUAAGGUAAUCAGAAUGAAAUGAAUGGCUAGAUAGCUAAUAGCUAUCAUGUUUAAGUCCGAAAAAUUUUGAUCUAUUUUUCUCUUAGAAUGGAAAAUUCUAACUUCUCUAGCAUGUCAGAUUGAGACUUGAUUAUGCAAAAUGUGAAAAUGUAUUCUGAAUUUCUCCAAAA